This 534-nucleotide ribosomal RNA is filed under the name Escherichia coli. RNAcentral's name for it is "bacterial SSU rRNA". It matches the Rfam family "Bacterial small subunit ribosomal RNA", at positions 74 to 601 of the family's 1533-position model. Lineage: Bacteria; Pseudomonadati; Pseudomonadota; Gammaproteobacteria; Enterobacterales; Enterobacteriaceae. The record is from RNAcentral.
AGCAGCUUGCUGCUUCGCUGACGAGUGGCGGACGGGUGAGUAAUGUCUGGGAAACUGCCUGAUGGAGGGGGAUAACUACUGGAAACGGUAGCUAAUACCGCAUAACGUCGCAAGACCAAAGAGGGGGACCUUCGGGCCUCUUGCCAUCGGAUGUGCCCAGAUGGGAUUAGCUUGUUGGUGGGGUAACGGCUCACCUAGGCGACGAUCCCUAGCUGGUCUGAGAGGAUGACCAGCCACACUGGAACUGAGACACGGUCCAGACUCCUACGGGAGGCAGCAGUGGGGAAUAUUGCACAAUGGGCGCAAGCCUGAUGCAGCCAUGCCGCGUGUAUGAAGAAGGCCUUCGGGUUGUAAAGUACUUUCAGCGGGGAGGAAGGGAGUAAAGUUAAUACCUUUGCUCAUUGACGUUACCCGCAGAAGAAGCACCGGCUAACUCCGUGCCAGCAGCCGCGGUAAUACGGAGGGUGCAAGCGUUAAUCGGAAUUACUGGGCGUAAAGCGCACGCAGGCGGUUUGUUAAGUCAGAUGUGAAAAU